CUCAGAUCUGGGAGGACAGAGCUGCAUGAGGGGGGGGAAGUUUGAACCCAGCAGACCCACAAACAUGUGGCAACAGGCUGACUACCUAGGGCUCCUUGCACGCUCCCUUCAUGAUGGAAGAUUUGUUCAAUAAUCCCCAGGAUUGUAGCUAAACACUCCAGGACAUAUUUCUCUACUUGGCUACAGUCAAGGCCCUGGCUCAGACAUCUCCAUCUCCCCCAGAAUGACCUCUGAAAGCACUCGUCUUGCACUCCUGCAUGGCCUUGAGAGCCUGGAGCUGAGCAGUGGCUGACCCGUUCCGACAGGAUCAGCACCUUCACUACCUGCCCGUGGGCAUUUGAAGUUGCAACUCUUUAUUUAAUGAGCGGGAAAAAGAAGAAAUAAACACUGCUUGGUGCCAAAAAAAGAGACUCUGGAACUUGAGGCCUGUCACUGCUCACUAAAGGAAAAAAUCAAAAAGAAAUGCAAGUGUAAGAAGGAGGAGGAGAAAGAGGAAAAGAAAGAAGAGGAAGAAAAGUAUGUAAUCCAUAAAGAUCUUCUCCUAAAAUGGGUAAAGGGGGAAAUUAGGGGUGAUUUAAAAGAAUCUACUGUUUUUCAAGGAAAUUACUCUCUAAGGAUCAUUCUGCCUCCACCUCACACUGUAUAAAUGUGGUGAGUGGGCUAAAGGCAGGUGAGGUACCACAAAUGCAGAAGACCCUGAGAAUUGCCAAGGGCACCAAGACUCUGAUCCUUCUCUGUCUGGCCAAGGCAGGAACAAUUUCUGUCUCAUAGUGCCAGAAAAAUGCAUUCUCCCCAUUUCACAGAUAAGGAACUUGAAUCUUGAAGAUGACAAACAACUUGUCCAAGACCAUAUUGGUAUUAAGUGGUGAACUUGGGAUUUUAAACCCAAGACUCUGAUGCCAAAACCGACUGAAAAAUAGGAUUCAUUUCGUAUGUAGCACCAAUGUUCUCCUUAGAUUCCUUCUUAUAUUAGCUAUCUACUGUUCGAGUGUCUUUCUUUCUUUCUUUUUUCCAUUCAAUAUUUGUUAAGCACCAGCUAUGACCAGUUGCUGAGAUAUAAAGAAACGGUUCCUCCUGACAUCAGAUUUGCAGAUUGACGGAGAAGGCGAAGAGGAAGCACAUAGGGCUAAUAAAGUGUCACAAGGACUGUGACAAGAGAACCAGGGAAUAUGUAAGAACAAAAGUAAUAAACAGUCAUUGAGUGCUAGCUAUGCACUAGGCGUAGUGCUGAGAGCUUCCCCUGUGGUAUUAGAAGAGGGAGACAAAAGAAGAGGCAGUUAGUGUUACCAAGGGUGGGCUUAGUUUGCCAGCUAUGGAAAUAAAAAUACAGGAUCCUCAGUUAAAUUUGAAUUUCAGAUAAACAAUAAAUUUUUUUAGUAUAAGCAUGUCUCAUGCAAUAUUUGAAACACACACAUACAAAAACAUUAUUCAUUCUUUAUCUGAAAUCCAAAUUGAACUGGGAGUCCUGUAUUUUAUCUGACAAUUCUAGGUGAGGAGAUCAAGGGAGUAGUAGAAAGUGUUUCACAGAGAAAGUGAGUCUUGAAGAUGAGUCGUUUUUCUCCAGAUUAGGGGUAGGGAGGGAAGUAAGAAUUAUUGAAUCUCAACCUCAUAGCAAUCAUGACCGUAGGAAACUGUCAUAUUUCAAAAGAUCAAUAGAAUUGCUUUCAUAGGGAUGUGUUAAGCCACCUCAAAAUGAUUUCUUUUGGGGGUGAAUAACUGG
Molecule: long non-coding RNA, 1720 nt
Organism: Equus caballus (horse)
Lineage: Eukaryota; Metazoa; Chordata; Mammalia; Perissodactyla; Equidae
Source: Ensembl